Molecule: long non-coding RNA, 1212 nt
Filed under: Ananas comosus (pineapple)
Lineage: Eukaryota; Viridiplantae; Streptophyta; Magnoliopsida; Poales; Bromeliaceae
Description: long non-coding RNA (ACOM_LNC017432)
Source: RNAcentral
UUUUAUUAUUUUUUAAAAUUAAUUAGAAGUUGAAAGUUGGAUAACUUAAUAUAUCUAAGAAUUUAAAAAGUUGGUAAUAUGAAAGUGAUAUAUUUUAAAUAAAAGAAAAUAAAAAGUCAUCUUAGAAUAUGAAAUAUUAUUUUAGAGUCUAUAUAAAGGGUCGUACUUAUAUUCAUUUUGGAUGAAUAAGAAAUGAUAUACUAAAUACUGUUUACUUUGUCUCAAAAGAAUUAACUGCAUCUGUCUGUAACGAUUAACUAUAUUUAAAAGGUUAUUCUUUGAUUUGAAUUUGAUGCUUUAUUUAUUUACUCAAAUUUUUCUAUCAUAUAGUAUAUUUUAAAUUACGUGGGAUUCGACUCUUCCAAUUUAACGUGAAUUUUUUUAGAAUUCCUAUAUUUUUUUUAAUAUUUGUUUUUAGUAUUUUGAUUACUAUGUUAUAAAUUUUUUAUAUUUAUUUUUGUUUACAAGUCAUAAUAUCUCCAUGUUAAUUGUGUUGGAAAUUUUGAUGGAUUUGUUUAUAUUAGGGUUUAGAAUUUUUAAAAUGAUUAAUUAUGAUGCAGCCUAACGCCAUACUUAAUGCAAUCUAGUGAAUAAGUUGGAAUUUGUUUACUAAAUAUAUUUUAUAUUGUUUCUAAUUAAACCUAUACGUCACUAACUAUAUAAUAAGGUAUCUAUAUAAAGUUAUCGGAAAUAGAUAUGAUUUGAUACCUAUCGUGACGUUUCAGUGUAAAAAAUUGAAAUGUUAAAAAAAGAUCUUCAUACUUUUCAAUAAACUUUAAAAUUACUAAAAUUGUUAAAGCAAAUAUAUUCUACUCUUUACAAAAUAACUUAUAGAAAUAUAAGGAUCCAAAUUUAGAAUUUAAAUUUUAAAAGAUUAUAAUAUAUCUGCCUGUAGUAUCUUUGGUUUUUGGGUUGCUUGUGGAUCUCAGCAUCUGAGGCUUGGCGACACAUCUGGAGAGUGUUGGGACAAGUCGGAGUCGUUUUGGCGUGAAACGGAUGCAAAACGGACUCGACGCGAGGCGAGAGUGGAGUUCUGACGCUGAAAUCCGCAAAGUGCAGGAUUCCAUUAUUGAGUAUCCGUAUGGCAUUGGGAUGGUACCGGUACCCUGUGUGCGAGCUUGCGGGCUGAGAGGCCAAGUACCGGUAAUCAAAUCGGGUACCGGUACUCCAGUUGUCAUGUUGAGUUGGUAAGGGUAUUACGGUCAUUUUGUG